RNAcentral lists this ribosomal RNA (492 nucleotides) under uncultured bacterium. RNAcentral's name for it is "partial 16S ribosomal RNA". It matches the Rfam family "Bacterial small subunit ribosomal RNA", at positions 30 to 507 of the family's 1533-position model. The record is from RNAcentral.
AUUGAACGCUGGCGGUAGGCCUAACACAUGCAAGUCGAACGGCAGCACAGUAAGAGCUUGCUCUUACGGGUGGCGAGUGGCGGACGGGUGAGGAAUACAUCGGAAUCUACUUUUUCGUGGGUGAUAACGUAGGGAAACUUACGCUAAUACCGCAUACGACCUACGGGUGAAAGCAGGGGAUCUUCGGACCUUGCGCGAUUGAAUGAGCCGAUGUCGGAUUAGCUAGUUGGCGGGGUAAAGGCCCACCAAGGCGACGAUCCGUAGCUGGUCUGAGAGGAUGAUCAGCCACACUGGAACUGAGACACGGUCCAGACUCCUACGGGAGGCAGCAGUGGGGAAUAUUGGACAAUGGGCGCAAGCCUGAUCCAGCCAUACCGCGUGGGUGAAGAAGGCCUUCGGGUUGUAAAGCCCUUUUGUUGGGAAAGAAAAGCAGCAGGUUAAUACCCCGCUGUUCUGACGGUACCCAAAGAAUAAGCACCGGCUAACUUCGUG